UACAGAGGUCUCAAGCGCUGUUCGGAUUCAUUGGGCGUAAAGGGUGCGUAGGCGGCGCGGUGAGUCGGAUGUGAAAUCUCGGAGCUUAACUCCAAAACUGCAUUCGAUACUGCCGUGCUUGAGGACUGGAGAGGAGACUGGAAUUUACGGUGUAGCGGUGAAAUGCGUAGAUAUCGUAAGGAAGACCAGUGGCGAAGGCGGGUCUCUGGACAGUUCCUGACGCUGAGGCACGAAGGCUAGGGUAGCGAACGGG
This 253-nucleotide ribosomal RNA is filed under the name uncultured bacterium. RNAcentral's name for it is "partial 16S ribosomal RNA". It matches the Rfam family "Bacterial small subunit ribosomal RNA", at positions 524 to 776 of the family's 1533-position model. The record is from RNAcentral.